AGUGAACGCUGGCGGUAGGCCUAACACAUGCAAGUCGAACGGCAACACAGUAAGAGCUUGCUCUUAUGGGGGGCGAGUGGCGGACGGGUCAGGAAAACAUCGUAAUCUACUUUUUGGGGGGGGAUAACGUAGGGAAACUUAAGCCAAUACCGCAGCCCCCGUACGGUGGAAAGCAUUGGAACUUCGGACCUGGUGCGGUUGAAUUCGCCGAUGUUGAAUUAGCUAGUUGGCGGGUUAAAGGCCCACCAAGGCGACGAUCCGUAGCUGGUCUGAGAGGAUGAUCGGCGACACUGGAACUGAGACACGCUCCAGACUCCUACGGGAGGCAGCAGUGGGGAAUGUGGGGCAAUGGGCGGAAGCCUGAUCCAGCCAGACCGCGUGGGUGAAGAAGGCCUUCGGGUCGUAAAGCCCUUUUGUUGGGAAAAAAAAGCUGUAGGUUAAUACCCAGCUGGUCUGACGGUACCGAAUGAAUAAGCACCGGCUAACUACGUG
Molecule: ribosomal RNA, 492 nt
Filed under: uncultured bacterium
Lineage: Bacteria
Description: partial 16S ribosomal RNA
Rfam family: Bacterial small subunit ribosomal RNA
Source: RNAcentral